Long non-coding RNA from Lepidothrix coronata (blue-crowned manakin), 373 nucleotides. RefSeq lists it as uncharacterized. The record is from RefSeq and is a predicted model, not a curated record. The transcript has 3 exons. Lineage: Eukaryota; Metazoa; Chordata; Aves; Passeriformes; Pipridae.
GGGCUGGGCCAGGGCAGUGUCCUGUACCACGGGCUGGUGCACAGGUCGGAGGAGGAGCUGCAGCGGCUGCAGCAGCGCCGGGAGCAGAAGCUGCAGCUCAAGGCCCAGCGGAGGCAGAAACAGGAGCAGGACCUGGAGAGGAAACGGCACCUGAGGCACCUGAACAGGGAGCGCAGCCUGGCCGGGAUGCGACGCCGGCAGGGCCAGGCCGGGACAGGUGACGGUGCCAGGACAGGUGACGGUGCCAGGACAGGUGACAAGGAGGGCGACAGCGACGUCGAGGACCCCGGCGCACCUGAGCCAGGUGUGGCCACGCCCUCGGAGGACGAGGACGACGCCGAGUACUACAGACAGGAGGUGGGGGAGGAGCCCG